Molecule: unclassified non-coding RNA, 292 nt
Filed under: uncultured crenarchaeote
Lineage: Archaea; Thermoproteati; Thermoproteota
Description: partial contains 16S ribosomal RNA and 16S-23S ribosomal RNA intergenic spacer
Source: RNAcentral
UGUAGGGGAACCUGCAGCCGGAUCACCUCCUUAGUACAUACUGUACUGAAAUCGGGGGUUGGAAUACGCACUGCAAUGGAGUUAAAGCUAGCCAGUAUCAGACGUAACGACGAAAGAGGAAGAUGCACUAUCCCACGCGAGUGAGAUAGGAAGGGCUAGCAGGGGACGACGGGCCUACGCGGGCAGCCCUGCGAUGUUGCCAUGCAUAGGGUUCGCGCAAGCAUCCGCCGGGGAUGUUAAUCAUCCGACACAACGACGCUGUAUGGUGAAUGGCUUGGCUUGGUAUGGCUAC